AUUAGUUUUCGUGUUGACCGAUGUAGAAGGGGUGACGAAAUUCGUCCCCGCCCCGGCGCGCGACCACUCAUAAGUAGAUGCUGAUCCUCUAAAACACUCUUAAACACACUCUGGAACGCUCCCUCUCGCAGACUCUUGAACUCUCCCUCUCACACACUCUGAGACCCAAACCCUCUAAACACUCUCAAACCUAAAACGACUCUCUACAUUCCAGGACCGUUGAUCUUCAACAACCCUCCAAGGAAGCAUUGAAGCCCUAUUCGACGAACGAAAACAUAGUGAAGCCAUUUUAGGGUCUGGAGGCACUCCCGGAGGAGGUUUCCGGAAACCUAGUCGUCCUAUUGUCUGAGUCCGUUGUGAAAGUAUUUGUUUCAUUUUUGAAGCAAGUCUGAUUGGUUUAAAAAAUUGAGAAGUUUGGGCACAACAGAAUUUUCUCUUUAUUCUUUUGUUUGUUUCCAAGAAAUUGGAUCCAUCUAACUCUCUCCACUACCCAACAAUGGUGUGAGCCUUGUGUAAUGGGUCACUCUUAUAGUGAGACAAGGUUUGGUGGUGGUUGUUAUUUAGGGUUUAGGGUUCAGCUGAAAAUGUGUGUCUUCAAAGGAGCAGGGGAAGGAUUAUAGUGAUAUUUGGCUCUGCCUUUUGUGCUAGGCUGGCUCAUUUUUAUGUGGAAUGUUUAGGAGGUGUACAGAGGGUGAUACUUCUCUUCUUGACAUCCAUUAGUCAACACAUCUAGUUUGUGAUAUCUUCUUAGUAAGAAGAAGAAAAAUGGAUCGUAGUUGGAUAAAUGCAAGAAGAAUCACUGAUGAGUAUCAAAAUGGGGUUGAAGAGUUUUUGAAAUUUGCUCAACAAAAUUGAGCAGAUUUGAAUGUAAAAUUUUAUUGUCCUUGCGUUAAUUGUUUAAAUGGGAGACAUGUAAUUGAAGAAAUACGAGACCAUCUUAUUUGUGAUGGGCUUUUAACGAGCUAUACAACAUGGAUAUGGCAUGGUGAAGAU
Cajanus cajan (pigeon pea) is the source of this 993-nucleotide long non-coding RNA. RefSeq lists it as uncharacterized. The record is from RefSeq and is a predicted model, not a curated record. NCBI's taxonomy places the organism in Eukaryota, Viridiplantae, Streptophyta, Magnoliopsida, Fabales, Fabaceae.